GAUGAACGCUGGCGGCGUGCCUAAUACAUGCAAGUCGAACGAGGCCCUUUGUAUUCGUACGAAGGUGUCCUAGUGGCGAACGGGUGAGUAACACGUAGGUGACCUGCCCCGAAGAGGGGAACAACCCCGGGAAACUGGGGCUAAUACCCCAUAACCUCCUUGGAGUUAGAGGACCUUGGAGAAAAAGGAGCAAUCCGCUUUGGGAGGGGCCUGCGGCCCAUCAGCUAGUUGGUAGGGUAACGGCCUACCAAGGCGAUGACGGGUAGGGGACCUGAGAGGGUGGUCCCCCACAAUGGUACUGAAACACGGACCAUACGACUACGGUCGGCAGCAGUAGGGAAUAUUGCACAAUGGGCGAAAGCCUGAUGCAGCAACGCCGCGUGCGCGAUGAAGGCCUUCGGGUUGUAAAGCGCUUUUCUGGGGGAAGAGAGAGGACGGUACCCCAGGAAUAAGUCUCGGCUAACUACGUG
This 470-nucleotide ribosomal RNA is filed under the name uncultured bacterium. RNAcentral describes it as "bacterial SSU rRNA". It matches the Rfam family "Bacterial small subunit ribosomal RNA", at positions 28 to 507 of the family's 1533-position model. The record is from RNAcentral.